RNAcentral lists this ribosomal RNA (460 nucleotides) under uncultured bacterium. Its description in RNAcentral is "partial 16S ribosomal RNA". It matches the Rfam family "Bacterial small subunit ribosomal RNA", at positions 338 to 795 of the family's 1533-position model. The record is from RNAcentral.
CCUACGGGAGGCAGCAGUGAGGAAUAUUGGUCAAUGGCCGUAAGGCUGAACCAGCCAAGUCGCGUGAAGGAAGAAGGAUCUAUGGUUUGUAAACUUCUUUUAUAGGGGAAUAAAGGUAUCCACGUGUGGAUAUUUGCAUGUACCCUAUGAAUAAGCAUCGGCUAACUCCGUGCCAGCAGCCGCGGUAAUACGGAGGAUGCGAGCGUUAUCCGGAUUUAUUGGGUUUAAAGGGUGCGUAGGUUGUUUGUUAAGUCAGCGGUGAAAGUUUGUGGCUCAACCAUAAAAUUGCCGUUGAAACUGGAGGGCUUGAGUAUGUUAGAGGCAGGCGGAAUGUGUGGUGUAGCGGUGAAAUGCUUAGAGAUCACGCAGAACCCCGAUUGCGAAGGCAGCCUGCCAAGCCAUGACUGACGCUGAUGCACGAAAGCGUGGGGAUCAAACAGGAUUAGAUACCCUUGUAGUC